GGAGCGGAAAGUAGUUACCAUCUUGAAGAGAAGCUGAAUGGAUUGAGGUACUGUGCAGCAUCAGGGCAUGUCUGAAAGGAACUGGAAAGUAUCUGUAAUGUUUCCCAGAGGAUCCGAUAGCUCUUCUCACACAAAAGCUUAUUUCCAAAUCAUUAUGCCACAGUAGCAUUUCAGUAAGGGGCACCUCAGGAAAGGCUUCUGACGGUUUCAGUCUGCAGAUUCAACAGUUUCAUU
This 234-nucleotide long non-coding RNA is filed under the name Gallus gallus (chicken). The record is from RNAcentral. Lineage: Eukaryota; Metazoa; Chordata; Aves; Galliformes; Phasianidae.